CCUGAAACUGUCAAAACGCUGUCUGCAAAAAUUUUGUCAUCAUCUCGUAGUUGCUCGAAAUCGUGAACAAUUUUUUCCUUAUCGGUCGGUUUUUCUCUAGAUUUAACAGUGUCAGUCACUAGACAAAAUAUAAUCCCUGCUGUGGGCAUAAGAUUAGGUAACUUCGGUAUACCAGGCCAACAGCGAAAGCGCUGAUGUUUGCGAGUGAAAAAAGCGGAGAAACACAAGUGAAAUCUCUUGCUUUCGGGCAAGGCUGUUAGCGAAAUCUACUGAUAAGGAACUGCCGGGAUUUAACGGAAUUGUUCGAACAAGGCCCGAGUAGUGCAGGGGAAUGACGUUGGAUGCCAGCGUUUUACCAUUAGAGCUGGUAACCACCGCUCAGCCACUAGUUUGGUUAUCCGGCUUGAAUAUGCAGCGGAACACUAUCCACAAACCGAUAUGGGAUGCGUUCAACAACAGCAAAAAGCCAGAAAGCGAAUCUAUAGAAUAUAAGCUUCUUCCACCCAGCCAUGAAUUUCCUGUAUCAACCAAAACACCAAUCCUACGAACGGUAUCACUCGAAAGGUAUUUUGAAACGAAACUAGAUGCUGAAACCGCAGAAACAUAUUUCGCCGGCAAAGACGAAAUACACGGCUAGCGGUAGUUUUAAUUCAGAAAGGUGCUAGCAUACCUCAAGGAGAUGAUUUUCUUGCUUCCGAGAGGGCAUCCUACUUGACCAGCACCUGUUACAUUACCGCAAAAAUGCUCUUCGUGCUUCCUCACAACGAUAAUUGGAUGAAUCACAUACUAAGACCACCCUUCUGGAACUUGCACAGUCUUACUAUAACCGAAUGAUGAAGCAAAUUCGGUCGCAUCGGGAACAGCUUACCGAAUUCCACCAAAAGGUUAAGAUUCGACACCAAUUUAAACUUAGGUCUAUUUCCGAGCUUAAAUUGGACCAAUUGAACGAAGUUCGAAUCGUAGACACCACUGCCUCGAAGUCAAAACCAUAGCUGGUUUCGUGAGCUACAAAAUUUGUCGCCUAUUUUUCAAACUCAACGCACCAAAGGAUUCAAUAUCGCACUUCAAGAACCACAUCGUCAAAUAUCGCAACCGAACCGUUCCAAGGAGCUGCUCUUCGAGCACUACGCCUGGCUGAGUGUGCAGUACAGUGCCUUCGUAAAAUUAUUGUCGAUGGUAGACAAAAGACGUUGAGACUACUGCAGCUGCUGGGACUAUUGCGACUGUUGCUGGAACUGGUACUGACGAUGAAUUGUUGCCUCUAAGCAGCUCCGUGGAAACUCUUGGAACAACAUUACAGCAUGGUUCAACAAUCAACUGGAAAGUUCAGAAAGCUCCAAAGGGAUUGGUGGAUUUGCCUCUGCGGGAAUGCCAAGAUACGAACGAUUCAGCGAUUGCGACAUCGAUCGGGCAAACAAGCCAACACAAUUGAAAAGCUGCGUACAUACACAUGUCUUGUGGUUAACAGGAAAUGAUUCCAAUAAAUAAACAAAAAGAAUAAAUCUUAAUUUAAUUCAAUUUAAUCUGUUUACGGCAUUUUAGAUGUUAAAAUGAUCAAAAUAAACAAAAAGAGUAAAAACUCAA
Long non-coding RNA from Wyeomyia smithii (pitcher-plant mosquito), 1584 nucleotides. RefSeq lists it as uncharacterized. NCBI's taxonomy places the organism in Eukaryota, Metazoa, Arthropoda, Insecta, Diptera, Culicidae. The record is from RefSeq and is a predicted model, not a curated record. The transcript is spliced from 4 exons.